This 506-nucleotide ribosomal RNA is filed under the name uncultured bacterium. RNAcentral's name for it is "partial 16S ribosomal RNA". It matches the Rfam family "Bacterial small subunit ribosomal RNA", at positions 29 to 523 of the family's 1533-position model. The record is from RNAcentral.
AGUGAACGCUGGCGGUAGGCCUAACACAUGCAAGUCGAACGGUAGCACAGAGGAGCUUGCUCCUUGGGUGGCGAGUGGCGGACGGGUGAGGAAUACAUCGGAAUCUACUCUGUCGUGGGGGAUAACGUAGGGAGACUUACGCUAAUACCGCAUACGACCUACGGGUGAAAGCAGGGGAUUUUCGGACCUUGCGCGAUUGAAUGAGCCGAUGUCGGAUUAGCUAGUUGGCGGGGUAAAGGCCCACCAAGGCGACGAUCCGUAGCUGGUCUGAGAGGAUGAUCAGCCACACUGGAACUGAGACACGGUCCAGACUCCGACGGGAGGCAGCAGUGGGGAAUAUUGGACAAUGGGCGCAAGCCUGAUCCAGCCAUACCGCGUGGGUGAAGAAGGCCUUCGGGUUGUAAAGCCCUUUUGUUGGGAAAGAAAUCCAUCUGGUUAAUACCCGGGUGGGAUGACGGUACCCAAAGAAUAAGCACCGGCUAACUUCGUGCCAGCCGCCGCUGUAA